GCCCUCGUAGCUCAGCUGGAUAGAGCAUCUGCCUUCUAAGCAGAGGGUCACACGUUCGAGUCGUGUCGAGGGUACAA
RNAcentral lists this transfer RNA (77 nucleotides) under Fidelibacterota bacterium. RNAcentral describes it as "tRNA-Arg". It matches the Rfam family "tRNA". Rfam says of the family: Transfer RNA (tRNA) molecules are approximately 80 nucleotides in length. Their secondary structure includes four short double-helical elements and three loops (D, anti-codon, and T loops). Lineage: Bacteria; Pseudomonadati; Fidelibacterota. The record is from RNAcentral.